AGUGAACGCUGGCGGUAGGCCUAACACAUGCAAGUCGAACGGCAGCACAGUAAGAGCUUGCUCUUACGGGUGGCGAGUGGCGGACGGGUGAGGAAUACAUCGGAAUCUACUUUUUCGUGGGGGAUAACGUAGGGAAACUUACGCUAAUACCGCAUACGACCUACGGGUGAAAGCAGGGGAUCUUCGGACCUUGCGCGAUUGAAUGAGCCGAUGUCGGAUUAGCUAGUUGGCGGGGUAAAGGCCCACCAAGGCGACGAUCCGUAGCUGGUCUGAGAGGAUGAUCAGCCACACUGGAACUGAGACACGGUCCAGACUCCUACGGGAGGCAGCAGUGGGGAAUAUUGGACAAAGGGCGCAAGCCUGAUCCAGCCAUACCGCGUGGGUGAAGAAGGCCUUCGGGUUGUAAAGCCCUUUUGUUGGGAAAGAAAAGCAGCAGGUUAAUACCCCGCUGUGCUGACGGUACCCAAAGAAUAAGCACCGGCUAACUUCGUG
Molecule: ribosomal RNA, 492 nt
Filed under: uncultured bacterium
Lineage: Bacteria
Description: partial 16S ribosomal RNA
Rfam family: Bacterial small subunit ribosomal RNA
Source: RNAcentral